RNAcentral lists this long non-coding RNA (333 nucleotides) under Cricetulus griseus (Chinese hamster). RNAcentral describes it as "lncRNA (ENSCGRG00015035598.1)". The record is from RNAcentral. Lineage: Eukaryota; Metazoa; Chordata; Mammalia; Rodentia; Cricetidae.
CCCGCCUCGCGCGCGGAUUGGAGGCCUUUGUCUGCCGCUCAAUUCCAGGAAACCAGGGCGCGCGGUAGCAGCUGCAGGAGGAGGAAUUCCUGUCUCCUUGGAUUGGUAUGGAGGUUGGGGAAUAAGAACUAAACCCUAGGAAGACUUUUACAAGAUGAGUAACCUGGGACUGGACUCAAAAGUCUUUAUCAGCAAGGAUCUUGCCAGGGUCACUCAGCCUCCAAGAGCCCUGGAAGUCUCAGCUUGUCUCCAUGACAAAUCAGCACAAUGGGGUUUCUUGGAUGGGCUAAUAGAAUGGAGUCCAGGAGACUCAGUGGACCUCUGAUCACCUCA